This 2903-nucleotide ribosomal RNA is filed under the name Escherichia coli. RNAcentral's name for it is "23S ribosomal RNA". It matches the Rfam family "Bacterial large subunit ribosomal RNA". The record is from RNAcentral. Lineage: Bacteria; Pseudomonadati; Pseudomonadota; Gammaproteobacteria; Enterobacterales; Enterobacteriaceae.
GGUUAAGCGACUAAGCGUACACGGUGGAUGCCCUGGCAGUCAGAGGCGAUGAAGGACGUGCUAAUCUGCGAUAAGCGUCGGUAAGGUGAUAUGAACCGUUAUAACCGGCGAUUUCCGAAUGGGGAAACCCAGUGUGUUUCGACACACUAUCAUUAACUGAAUCCAUAGGUUAAUGAGGCGAACCGGGGGAACUGAAACAUCUAAGUACCCCGAGGAAAAGAAAUCAACCGAGAUUCCCCCAGUAGCGGCGAGCGAACGGGGAGCAGCCCAGAGCCUGAAUCAGUGUGUGUGUUAGUGGAAGCGUCUGGAAAGGCGCGCGAUACAGGGUGACAGCCCCGUACACAAAAAUGCACAUGCUGUGAGCUCGAUGAGUAGGGCGGGACACGUGGUAUCCUGUCUGAAUAUGGGGGGACCAUCCUCCAAGGCUAAAUACUCCUGACUGACCGAUAGUGAACCAGUACCGUGAGGGAAAGGCGAAAAGAACCCCGGCGAGGGGAGUGAAAAAGAACCUGAAACCGUGUACGUACAAGCAGUGGGAGCACGCUUAGGCGUGUGACUGCGUACCUUUUGUAUAAUGGGUCAGCGACUUAUAUUCUGUAGCAAGGUUAACCGAAUAGGGGAGCCGAAGGGAAACCGAGUCUUAACUGGGCGUUAAGUUGCAGGGUAUAGACCCGAAACCCGGUGAUCUAGCCAUGGGCAGGUUGAAGGUUGGGUAACACUAACUGGAGGACCGAACCGACUAAUGUUGAAAAAUUAGCGGAUGACUUGUGGCUGGGGGUGAAAGGCCAAUCAAACCGGGAGAUAGCUGGUUCUCCCCGAAAGCUAUUUAGGUAGCGCCUCGUGAAUUCAUCUCCGGGGGUAGAGCACUGUUUCGGCAAGGGGGUCAUCCCGACUUACCAACCCGAUGCAAACUACGAAUACCGGAGAAUGUUAUCACGGGAGACACACGGCGGGUGCUAACGUCCGUCGUGAAGAGGGAAACAACCCAGACCGCCAGCUAAGGUCCCAAAGUCAUGGUUAAGUGGGAAACGAUGUGGGAAGGCCCAGACAGCCAGGAUGUUGGCUUAGAAGCAGCCAUCAUUUAAAGAAAGCGUAAUAGCUCACUGGUCGAGUCGGCCUGCGCGGAAGAUGUAACGGGGCUAAACCAUGCACCGAAGCUGCGGCAGCGACACUAUGUGUUGUUGGGUAGGGGAGCGUUCUGUAAGCCUGUGAAGGUGUACUGUGAGGUAUGCUGGAGGUAUCAGAAGUGCGAAUGCUGACAUAAGUAACGAUAAAGCGGGUGAAAAGCCCGCUCGCCGGAAGACCAAGGGUUCCUGUCCAACGUUAAUCGGGGCAGGGUGAGUCGACCCCUAAGGCGAGGCCGAAAGGCGUAGUCGAUGGGAAACAGGUUAAUAUUCCUGUACUUGGUGUUACUGCGAAGGGGGGACGGAGAAGGCUAUGUUGGCCGGGCGACGGUUGUCCCGGUUUAAGCGUGUAGGCUGGUUUUCCAGGCAAAUCCGGAAAAUCAAGGCUGAGGCGUGAUGACGAGGCACUACGGUGCUGAAGCAACAAAUGCCCUGCUUCCAGGAAAAGCCUCUAAGCAUCAGGUAACAUCAAAUCGUACCCCAAACCGACACAGGUGGUCAGGUAGAGAAUACCAAGGCGCUUGAGAGAACUCGGGUGAAGGAACUAGGCAAAAUGGUGCCGUAACUUCGGGAGAAGGCACGCUGAUAUGUAGGUGAAGUCCCUCGCGGAUGGAGCUGAAAUCAGUCGAAGAUACCAGCUGGCUGCAACUGUUUAUUAAAAACACAGCACUGUGCAAACACGAAAGUGGACGUAUACGGUGUGACGCCUGCCCGGUGCCGGAAGGUUAAUUGAUGGGGUCAGCGCAAGCGAAGCUCUUGAUCGAAGCCCCGGUAAACGGCGGCCGUAACUAUAACGGUCCUAAGGUAGCGAAAUUCCUUGUCGGGUAAGUUCCGACCUGCACGAAUGGCGUAAUGAUGGCCAGGCUGUCUCCACCCGAGACUCAGUGAAAUUGAACUCGCUGUGAAGAUGCAGUGUACCCGCGGCAAGACGGAAAGACCCCGUGAACCUUUACUAUAGCUUGACACUGAACAUUGAGCCUUGAUGUGUAGGAUAGGUGGGAGGCUUUGAAGUGUGGACGCCAGUCUGCAUGGAGCCGACCUUGAAAUACCACCCUUUAAUGUUUGAUGUUCUAACGUUGACCCGUGAUCCGGGUUGCGGACAGUGUCUGGUGGGUAGUUUGACUGGGGCGGUCUCCUCCUAAAGAGUAACGGAGGAGCACGAAGGUUGGCUAAUCCUGGUCGGACAUCAGGAGGUUAGUGCAAUGGCAUAAGCCAGCUUGACUGCGAGCGUGACGGCGCGAGCAGGUGCGAAAGCAGGUCAUAGUGAUCCGGUGGUUCUGAAUGGAAGGGCCAUCGCUCAACGGAUAAAAGGUACUCCGGGGAUAACAGGCUGAUACCGCCCAAGAGUUCAUAUCGACGGCGGUGUUUGGCACCUCGAUGUCGGCUCAUCACAUCCUGGGGCUGAAGUAGGUCCCAAGGGUAUGGCUGUUCGCCAUUUAAAGUGGUACGCGAGCUGGGUUUAGAACGUCGUGAGACAGUUCGGUCCCUAUCUGCCGUGGGCGCUGGAGAACUGAGGGGGGCUGCUCCUAGUACGAGAGGACCGGAGUGGACGCAUCACUGGUGUUCGGGUUGUCAUGCCAAUGGCACUGCCCGGUAGCUAAAUGCGGAAGAGAUAAGUGCUGAAAGCAUCUAAGCACGAAACUUGCCCCGAGAUGAGUUCUCCCUGACCCUUUAAGGGUCCUGAAGGAACGUUGAAGACGACGACGUUGAUAGGCCGGGUGUGUAAGCGCAGCGAUGCGUUGAGCUAACCGGUACUAAUGAACCGUGAGGCUUAACCUU